AUUGAACGCUGGCGGCAUGCUUUACACAUGCAAGUCGAACGGCAGCGCGGGCUUCGGCCUGGCGGCGCGUGGCGAACGGGUGAGUGAUACAUCGGAACGUGCCCAGCAGGGGGGGAUAGCUCGGCGAAAGCCGGAUUAAUAACGCAUACGAGCUGCGGGUGAAAGAGGGGGGUCUUCGGACCUCGCGCGAUUGGAGCGGCCGAUGGCAGAUUAGCUAGUUGGUGGGGUAAAGGCCUACCAAGGCGACGAUCUGUAGCUGGUCUGAGAGGACGACCAGCCACACUGGGACUGAGACACGGCCCAGACUCCUACGGGAGGCAGCAGUGGGGAAUUUUGGACAAUGGGCGAAAGCCUGAUCCAGCAAUGCCGCGUGUGUGAUGAAGGCCUUCGGGUUGUAAAGCACUUUUGGCGGGAACGAAAAGGACUGUGCCAAUACCACGGUUCGAUGACGGUACCCGCAGAAUAAGCACCGGCUAACUACGUG
This 484-nucleotide ribosomal RNA is filed under the name uncultured bacterium. RNAcentral describes it as "partial 16S ribosomal RNA". It matches the Rfam family "Bacterial small subunit ribosomal RNA", at positions 29 to 507 of the family's 1533-position model. The record is from RNAcentral.